This 1686-nucleotide ribosomal RNA is filed under the name Meloidogyne incognita (southern root-knot nematode). RNAcentral describes it as "SSU rRNA". It matches the Rfam family "Eukaryotic small subunit ribosomal RNA". Lineage: Eukaryota; Metazoa; Nematoda; Chromadorea; Rhabditida; Meloidogynidae. The record is from RNAcentral.
AUGUAUAAGUUUAAUCGUUUUAACGAGAAACCGCGAACGGCUCAUUACAAUGGSCAUGAUUUACUUGAUCUUGAUUAUCUAAAUGGAUAACCGUGGAAAAGCUAGAGCUAAUACAUGCACCAAAGCUUUGUCCUCUCGGAAAAGCGCAUUUAUUAGAACAAAACCACGCGGCUUCGGCUGCUUCUUGUUGACUCAGAAUAACUAAGCUGACCGCAUGGCCUUGUGCCGGCGGCGUGUCUUUCAAGCGUCCACUUUAUCAACUUGACGGGAGCAUAAUCGACUCCCGUGGUGGCGACGGAUAACGGAGGAUCAGGGUUCGACUCCGGAGAAGGGGCCUGAGAAAUGGCCACUACGUCUAAGGAUGGCAGCAGGCGCGCAAAUUACCCACUCUCGGCUCGAGGAGGUAGUGACGAGAAAUAACGAGACUGUUCUCUUUGAGGCCGGUCAUCGGAAUGGGUACAAUUUAAACCCUUUAACGAGUAUCAAGCAGAGGGCAAGUCUGGUGCCAGCAGCCGCGGUAAUUCCAGCUCUGCAAAUACAUAGAAUUAUUGCUGCGGUUAGAAAGCUCAUAGUUGGAUUCGUAUCGAUACCUUGGAACCCUUCGGGUGUCUCUAGGUGUUAUCGAUUUAUCGUAAUGUUCGGUUUUGAGUCCUUAACAGGAUUCUUAACAGGCAUUGCAAGUUUACUUUGAACAAAUCAGAGUGCUUCAAACAGGCGUUUUCGCUUGAAUGAUCGUGCAUGGAAUAAUAGAAAAUGAUUUCGGUUCAGUUUUAUUGGUUUUACGGACUGAGAUAAUGGUUAACAGAGACAAACGGGGGCAUUUGUAUGGUCCCGUGAGAGGUGAAAUUCUUGGACCGUGGCCAGACAAACUACAGCGAAAGCAUUUGCCAAGAAUGUUUUUAUUAAUCAAGAACGAAAGUCAGAGGUUCGAAGGCGAUCAGAUACCGCCCUAGUUCUGACCGUAAAUGAUGCCAACUAGCGAUCCGCCGAUGGAAAUUAUAUUGCCUUGGUGGGGAGCUUCCCGGAAACGAAAGUCUUCCGGUUCCGGGGGAAGUAUGGUUGCAAAGCUGAAACUUAAAGGAAUUGACGGAAGGGCACCACCAGGAGUGGAGCCUGCGGCUUAAUUUGACUCAACACGGGGAAACUCACCCGGCCCGGACACUGUGAGGAUUGACAGAUUGAUAGCUUUUUCAUGAUUCAGUGGAUGGUGGUGCAUGGCCGUUCUUAGUUCGUGGAGUGAUUUGUCUGGUUUAUUCCGAUAACGAGCGAGACUCUAACCUACUAAAUAGUUGGUACAUACUCUUAGUGUAUACAGCUUCUUAGAGGGAUUUGCGGCGUUCAGCCGAAAGAAAUUGAGCAAUAACAGGUCUGUGAUGCCCUUAGAUGUCCGGGGCUGCACGCGCGCUACACUGGCAAAAUCAACGUGCUUGUCCUACCCUGAAAGGGGCGGGUAAACCAUUGAAAAUUUGCCGUGAUUGGGAUCGGAAAUUGCAAUUAUUUUCCGUGAACGAGGAAUUCCAAGUAAGUGCGAGUCAUCAGCUCGCGUUGAUUACGUCCCUGCCCUUUGUACACACCGCCCGUCGCUGCCCGGGACUGAGCCAUUUCGAGAAAUUUGGGGACCGUUGAUUUAAUUUUUCUAAAUUACUUUGAUGGAAACCAAUUUAAUCGCAGUGGCUUGAACCGGGC